This 1223-nucleotide long non-coding RNA is filed under the name Mus musculus (house mouse). RNAcentral's name for it is "long non-coding RNA chr9:65083278-65084501". Lineage: Eukaryota; Metazoa; Chordata; Mammalia; Rodentia; Muridae. The record is from RNAcentral.
UGGGCACUUCAGGGCGGGUCUGCAGGCUGCUUUUGUAAACUUUCUGUAAAGAAUGCAGUCGCAGUCAGAGAACAGGUGACUUAUAUGGUGGCUGGUUGUUAGGAACCCAUAACAGUAGUCAAAGAAACGGCUCAGCUGUGAUGCAAAGCCCUCUCCGUGCCCCUAGUCUGAGAAUGUAUUUGGGCACGAUGACUUUUCGCAGUCCUGGCCCCUCCAAAGCCUCACACAGAAAGAUGAAGCCACGACGCACGCUUGCUCCUUUAAAACCGUGAGCCACACGCAUGCGUGCGUUCAGGUGCUUCCUGCCUUUACCACACAGUUCUCUCUGCUGGUGGGAGGAUUCCAGUCAAAGCUUCCAUUGCUACAGAAUCAUACAUUUUCCAUCUGGAACAAAUCUUUAACAUAACCCAGUGUCCUCAUCUGCUAGGGAGAAAAAAACCAAGCUUGUGUUCUAGAGAGGAAGAAACACACCCAGGAUCUCACAGUUAGUAGUCAGAACCAGGGUCUAUCUGUGGCCUGCCUCAUGGUAGCUAUGUGAUAGUUAAGAAAGAUAGGGUUUUUAAAGAAGUAUUUAUUAAUAUAUUCCUAUAAAACAUUUUAAAGGAAGCCACAUAAAAAUGGUUAAUGUUUCCUUUCUAAGUAAAUGCUAAGCAUGCUUAUUAACGAAGCAGCACUGAUGGGUAGGUGGCAUCUGAAGCUAAUUUAAGUCAUUAUGUUGAAUGUCUUCCUUGGUGCCAUGGGACAUAGGGACACAGAACAUUUGCAUAAGCCCAGGAACCCAUCUUCCGUGAUGUGAGACCAGAGCCUCAGCAAGGUCUACACUAUGUAUGUGAGAGCAUCUCCCAGCAGAUGGAAGGAACUGGAAACAUCCCGACUGUGGCCUUUCCAGCCCCAACCCCCCCCCCUCCUAUCUGCCCUCCUGACCUUCUACAAGUCCCUUGCAGACACAGGAGCUGUGUUUGUGUGUUUGGUUUUGAGUAACCCUAAUACAAAUUUAUGUUGUUUUAAGCAAACUUGGGAAUUGGGUUGGGUGGAGGUCUUUGAGUUAAGCACUUAAAGUGCCUGCUGUCUCAGCACUGACCUGUGCAGACCUGCAUGCCUCUCCAGUAAGCGCACGGGGCUCCUCCUCUUCAGCCCCACGGCUUUUAAUCGUGUGAUGUGAAGCAUUAGUUCGCUGCAUUUUAUUACAGGUUCUUGGUUGCAAUAAAGAUGCUGCUGAAAUC